Non-coding RNA from Streptomyces autolyticus, 75 nucleotides. NCBI's taxonomy places the organism in Bacteria, Bacillati, Actinomycetota, Actinomycetes, Kitasatosporales, Streptomycetaceae. The record is from Rfam.
CUUGAUGGACCCCAGCCACAGGGGCUGGUCGUCGGUGUGUUCACGCCCGUACGUGGCCAGCAGUGCCUGCGCCUC